Molecule: long non-coding RNA, 365 nt
Filed under: Ananas comosus (pineapple)
Lineage: Eukaryota; Viridiplantae; Streptophyta; Magnoliopsida; Poales; Bromeliaceae
Description: long non-coding RNA (ACOM_LNC006181)
Source: RNAcentral
CCUAGAGCAAACGAUUAAUCUCAACCCUCUCAUUCUCUCUAACCUCGACUCUAUUUCUCUUUUUAUUUCUUUAAUUAUGCUUUCUCUUUCCAACUUAUAUUUUUUCUCUUUUUUUCUAAAAAAAUAUUAAAAUUAUUUAUAGUAUUAUUUAAAAUUAAUUUAAUUAAUUAAUUAAUUAAUUAAUUAAUUGUAUAUUUUUCGUAAUCUUAAAUAACCUGACUAAAUAAUAUGACCGUACGAACCAAACACCGAAAUACUACAUUCUUAGUAAUAAGAUGAAUAAGAAUAAGAUUCUCGGAUAUUUUUUUACUUCUAGUAAUUUUUUAUAGUGCGAACCAAACGCGCCCUUAAGGUGAGCAAAAUUG